Molecule: non-coding RNA, 119 nt
Organism: Anolis carolinensis (green anole)
Lineage: Eukaryota; Metazoa; Chordata; Lepidosauria; Squamata; Anolidae
Source: Rfam
UUAUUAAAUUCUAAUAUCCUAAAAACACCAGAUCCUAUCUGAUGUUCGAAGCUCAGCAGGAUUAGCCUUGGUUCCUACUUGAAAGGGAGACUGCCAAUGAAUACCAGGUACUUUAGGCU